ACACUUACCUGGCAGGGGAGAUACCAUAAUCACGAAGGUGGUUUUCCCAGGACGGGGCUUAUCCAUUGCAUUCCGGAUGUUCUGACCACUGCAAUUUCCUCAAAUGUGGGAAACAACUGCGUAAUUAGUGGUGUGGGGGGGACUGCGUUUGCACUCUCCCCUG
Small nuclear RNA from Pteronotus mesoamericanus, 163 nucleotides. RefSeq annotates it as U1 spliceosomal RNA. NCBI's taxonomy places the organism in Eukaryota, Metazoa, Chordata, Mammalia, Chiroptera, Mormoopidae. The record is from RefSeq and is a predicted model, not a curated record. The transcript has a single exon.